AAAUAGGGGACCAGGAUCUCAGGGGAGAGUAGCUGAGGCCUUGCUCGGAGUCCCAGGAGAUCCACAGGUCCGGCAUGAACAGUGAGAGGUCAGAGGUGGAAGGCUCAGCAGGAGAGGAGAGGAGGAUCAGCAGAGGUCAUGAGAAGGCCAGAAUCCAGGGUCAGGCUGUCUGGAACAGGAAGUAAAAUGGGCCGAGAUGGAGCGAGCCCCCAGUGUGCUUCCAAGGCCACUCCCACCUCCCUGAAACACCCUGCUACGUACUGAUCCAAUGCCCUGCGCUGUGUAUGAGAGCACCUUCUCUUCUGAAACCCCUAUACAAGGGAGGGGCCCCUGCGGAGACCGUGCCCUGCCAUCCAGGUCACCUUGCCUUCAGGGACCUGGGCUUUCAGCUGUCCAUACCUGGCCCUGGUUGAUGGCGGCAUGCUGGGCAGUGCACGUGAAGACGCACAUGAGACAGCAUCUCGUAUGUUGCCCAGGCUGGCCUUGAAAGCCUGGCCU
Long non-coding RNA from Homo sapiens (human), 498 nucleotides. Ensembl annotates it as mir-497-195 cluster host gene. Its record names the gene MIR497HG. NCBI's taxonomy places the organism in Eukaryota, Metazoa, Chordata, Mammalia, Primates, Hominidae. The record is from Ensembl.